GGUCUAAUAGUGUAGAGGUUAUCACACGGGAUUUUGAGAGCAACUUCCCGUAACCCAGGUUCGAGUCCUGGUUAGACCU
Molecule: non-coding RNA, 79 nt
Organism: Rhodocollybia butyracea
Lineage: Eukaryota; Fungi; Basidiomycota; Agaricomycetes; Agaricales; Omphalotaceae
Source: the annotation of a GenBank genome assembly